GAGUUUGAUCCUGGCUCAGAUUGAACGCUGGCGGCAUGCCUUACACAUGCAAGUCGAACGGCAGCACGGGAGCAAUCCUGGUGGCGAGUGGCGAACGGGUGAGUAAUGUAUCGGAACGUACCUUUCAGUGGGGGAUAACGUAGCGAAAGUUACGCUAAUACCGCAUAUUCUCUGAGGAGGAAAGCAGGGGACCUUAGGGCCUUGCGCUGUUAGAGCGGCCGAUAUCAGAUUAGCUAGUUGGUGGGGUAAAAGCUCACCAAGGCGACGAUCUGUAGCGGGUCUGAGAGGAUGAUCCGCCACMCUGGAACUGAGACACGGUCCAGACUCCUACGGGAGGCAGCAGUGGGGAAUUUUGGACAAUGGGCGCAAGCCUGAUCCAGCCAUGCCGCGUGAGUGAAGAAGGCCUUCGGGUUGUAAAGCUCUUUCGGCCGGGAAGAAAUCGCAUUGGUUAAUMCCUGGUGUGGAUGACGGUACCGGAAUAAGAAGCACCGGCUAACUACGUGCCAGCAGCCGCGGUAAUAC
RNAcentral lists this ribosomal RNA (522 nucleotides) under uncultured Dechloromonas sp. RNAcentral describes it as "bacterial SSU rRNA". It matches the Rfam family "Bacterial small subunit ribosomal RNA", at positions 9 to 526 of the family's 1533-position model. Lineage: Bacteria; Pseudomonadati; Pseudomonadota; Betaproteobacteria; Rhodocyclales; Azonexaceae. The record is from RNAcentral.